Molecule: non-coding RNA, 23 nt
Filed under: Cricetulus griseus (Chinese hamster)
Lineage: Eukaryota; Metazoa; Chordata; Mammalia; Rodentia; Cricetidae
Source: RNAcentral
AAACAUGGCAACAGGGCUGAGAU